Chiloscyllium plagiosum (whitespotted bambooshark) is the source of this 1050-nucleotide non-coding RNA. Lineage: Eukaryota; Metazoa; Chordata; Chondrichthyes; Orectolobiformes; Hemiscylliidae. The record is from RefSeq and is a predicted model, not a curated record.
UCCAGUGCUGGCGAGAUUCAAUUUAUAGAGGAUCAAUCAAAAUGCCGUGUAGAAAAAGCGCGAGCUGGUAAUAGAGUCAGCGGAUGUGACCCUUUCAGCUGAACCAUUGCUAGAUAACAGAUCGCUGUAAACAAACUACUCAAAAGAAAAUAGGGUCUGUGUUCCUUUUGAUUGAAGGCGUCCAAGUCUGAAACCUCAGUUGAAAACUCUCUAAAGAAAGCUGCAGUAUCGUUCCACUGGAGUCUCGCAUGAAGGAGCAAUGCCUGAUAACAGUUCUAAAGGUGUUUCUCAUGGGCAUUCUGCUUAUACAAAGAGGAUACUCAGAUCCUGAACUCAUCACAGUUUUGAUUCUGAUGAAGGGCUUAUGCCUGAAACGUCGAUUCUCCUGCUCCUCGGGUGCUGCCUGACCUGCUGUGCUUUUCCAGCACCACACUCUCCACCCCAGUUUUGGUUCAGACAUGAACAAAAGACCUGAAUUCCAGAGGAAAGAUAAAAUGAAAUAUCAGAAGACCGAAAACACAGAGGACAACUGAAAUAUUUACAACUGUCGAGGAUACAAGACAUUGAUUAAGCAAGUGUGGUCUCAAGGACUCCCAAAUUGAUUCUGCUUAUUGAUUCCCAUAUGAUCAUUUCGCCACAUGUAUCCUAGCAACAACCUUACAGAUACUCAAACCGCAGAGAAGAGUCACCACACUCUCCCCACGUUAAAGCAUUUUACUCCACUGACAUGGCUAUAAUUGGUUUAUUAAGUGUUACUUUUAAUGAAUUCUAGGCACUUUUAGAGCAAUCACCAACUACCUAGUCACCUGCCUCAAUGCAGUUUUAUUCUUAGCAGGAGACGUCUAUGUUUCAUUUUUGCCACAGAAUUGUGCAGAGAUGAUGCACCAGUUUUUAUGUGCAUAGGAAUAUCAUUAUUCACAGUGUCUGAAAGGUACAUGUCCUAUCAUGAUAACAGACGCAGUUUAGCUUUUUUCUCAUAACAGUCACCAAACCAGGGCUUAACUUAACACACUCAAAACAAAAAGCAGAUAUCAGGCACACACAACUGAA